GAGGCCGGGAGACGCUGAGGGUACCUCGGGGGUAGCGGUGAGAUGCUGUAAUCNUCGGAGGACCACCAAUGGCGAAGGCACUCAGCGAGAACGGACCUGACGGUGAGGGAUGAAGGCUGGGGGAGCGAACCGGAUUAGAUACCCGGGUAGUCCCAGCUGUAAAGUAUGCAGACCAGGUGCUGGAUGUCCCUCGAGGGCACUCGGUGCCGUAGGGAAGCCGUUAAGUCUGCCGCCUGGGGAGUACGGUCGCAAGGCUGAAACUUAAAGAAAUUGGCGGGGGAGCACCACAAGGGGUGGAGCCUGCGGUUUAAUUGGAUUCAACGCCGGACAACUCACCGGGGGCGACGGCAGAAUGAAGGUCAGGCUGACGACUUUACUGGACUAGCCGAGAGGUAGUGCAUGGCCGCCGUCAGCUCGUACCGUGAAGCGUCCUGUCAAGUCAGGCAACGAGCGAGACCCUCACCACUAGUUGCCAACGGAUCCCACUGGGAUGCCGAGCACUCUAGGGGGACCGCUGUCGCUAAGGCAGAGGAAGGAGAGGGCAACGGUAGGUCCGUAUGCUCCGAAUCCCCCGGGCUACACGCGGGCUACAAUGCGUGGGGCAGAGGGAUGCAACCCCGAAAGGGGAAGCCAAACCCUAAACCUACGCUCAGUUCGGAUCGAGGGCUGAAACUCGCCCUCGUGAAGUUGGAAUCCCUAGU
Molecule: ribosomal RNA, 701 nt
Filed under: uncultured candidate division MSBL1 archaeon
Lineage: Archaea; Methanobacteriati; Methanobacteriota
Description: bacterial SSU rRNA
Rfam family: Archaeal small subunit ribosomal RNA
Source: RNAcentral